GUUUGAUGGCCGGGCCCCUCUGGCGAACGUGGCGGCACGUUCGUGAUGUCGGCAUCGAUCU
RNAcentral lists this non-coding RNA (61 nucleotides) under Paracoccus denitrificans PD1222. Its description in RNAcentral is "terC RNA". It matches the Rfam family "terC RNA". The record is from RNAcentral. Lineage: Bacteria; Pseudomonadati; Pseudomonadota; Alphaproteobacteria; Rhodobacterales; Paracoccaceae.